This 842-nucleotide long non-coding RNA is filed under the name Zalophus californianus (California sea lion). RNAcentral's name for it is "lncRNA (ENSZCAG00015020977.1)". Lineage: Eukaryota; Metazoa; Chordata; Mammalia; Carnivora; Otariidae. The record is from RNAcentral.
GGACCCUACGGAAUCCCCCCAAUCUGUGUGUUGUGCUUUCCUUAACGACUGCCUUGGAACAAGCCGCGGGGAGAAGAGGAGAUCCUAGAGGGACUGAUCCAGCGAGUGAGUGUGUAGGACGGUCGCUCUUCCAGUGCCAGGAGUGGCGGAUGUUCCUCGAACCUGGAAGAGGACUUUGCCGGCGUCCUUUCCUGGCCUCUGCGGGAAUGCAGGGCGCCCCCUCGCUGUCACCGUCACCCACUUUAUACGGCGCCUCCCUGGCUGGACCUACACUCUCCGCCGCUCGGCUCGUUCACACCAGAGGUCUGCGCUAAUCCCGCACCUUUUAGGAGCACUGAGAAGGUGAGCCGUCCUCCGGGUCCACUGACACGUGGGAAAGAAGACGCAGGACUGGAGCAUCCACCCCCGCUGGUGUCCUGGGACGAGGUAUUCCUGAGAGCCAGCCACCUCCGUACGUGGGGACCUCGGGCUUUGCUUCCAGAAACCGCAUGUGUGUCCCCUUACUAAGGCUGGACUAGCUGGAUGUAGGAGCAAAUGCAUCUGUGCCUGGCCAUUGGAACGGCUGCCGGAGGUGGGGCGGUGGAGGGCGGCACAGGCGGUCUCCCGGGUGUGAGGCAGUGUCUGAGCACGCUGUGGUGGGUGAACAGUGCGCGGUGGCCCAGGACAGAGCUGCCCAUGCGUGCGUGACCCUCUUCUGCUAAGGACAAGCUCAGACUGUGAGUGGAUGGCGCAGUCGGCCCGGAUCGUGCGUUUCUUGUCCUGAUGUGAAGGGGCCAGUUCUGCAGAUGCUCUCGGAACCUCUGCACCCCUGGCAGAGAUUAUCCUGCAGCUCAGCUUCCAGU